This 570-nucleotide unclassified non-coding RNA is filed under the name Hevea brasiliensis (rubber tree). The record is from RNAcentral. Lineage: Eukaryota; Viridiplantae; Streptophyta; Magnoliopsida; Malpighiales; Euphorbiaceae.
AAGUACAACCACAUCAAUUUCUCAGGCCUGUAAUGAUCCAGCUAAUGUGGUUGUUUCUUCUUCUGUUGUUUCUCAGUGGAAACCAUCUGAGCCCUCAUGUGAUUCUGUUGUGACAAAUCCAGCCUCUCAAGUGGGUUCUAUUGGGAGCCCACCUCUUACAAAUUCAGCUGGAAGUGAGGCAGUGGCAUCUGUCAACCAGGGUUUAGGCCAGAGGCAGUUAUCAGCAGGCUUGCCCCAACAUGGGAGUGCUGGAGCACAGUGGCAGGAGCAGCCACAGUUAUUCCAAUCAAGACUGCGAGAACCCCCCCCCCUCGUCUCAACAACUGUUUCAGGUACAAGAGCUGCAGCGGCAGCAGGAACAGCAGUCACCUCGGCAACAGUACUCUCAGCAGCAAACACAGCAUCUUCAAUCAGCACAAGGAAGUAUUUAUAUCAGGUCUCCCAAUUCUCAGCUGGAAUGAAGCAAUCUAACAGAUUGAGCUGUUCCUGAACCAGAUGGUGCUGCUAAGACUUGGGUUUGCAUGCCCUUAUAGCAGCAAUGUACAGGUAUUCGUCUCCCCUCGACCCCCA